AAAGUAAGGAUUUCGAUUAGCACUCGAUUUUAUUACCUGAUGCAGAAUGAAAUAUUUCCAACUUCUUUUAAUAAUUGUUUAUUUGAAUUAUGUUAAAUUAGUACCCGACGAAUACUGCCUCUCCCCCCUAAACCGAAGCGACUGCGGGACACCCCCGACCCCCGUCUUCUCAUACUUCAAGUACGGCUCGAGGUGCGAGAUCGAGACCUGGCGCGGCUGUCCCACAGAUAAUAUGUUCGAAAACGAGUAUCACUGCGUUCAUUACUGUAUAGGAAGGACGAAGUACUAUGGACGGGAAAGAGGUUCCUGGAAAGGGACAGUCGGAAUUUCCAUAGAAAAGUUGAGUUUUGCCGAACUAGAAGAAGUAAAUCGCAUUGUUGACAAAAUAGUUAUCACAAUCGAAUCAAAACAAAUGUUAUUACAUAAGAAAAAUGGGAAAAAACCCAAGAAAUCAAAUAAAACUACAAUUAAAGCCGGUGAAGAUUCAGAUGAAACAACCACAGUUGAAGCCAGUGAAGAAGAUAUGGACGAAACAGGAGAAGAAUAUGAUGAGCUUGUCGACACAACACUGAUAUAUUUGACACAAGAACCUGUUACAGGCAAACAUAUAAUGAAAGGAGAAAUUCUAAGGUUUAAACGAAAUACAACCAAACACUUUCUUUAACAUCAAGUUAAAGUCUACAAAUCCAUAUUAGAUAAAGUUCAUCUUGCUGAAAAGGGAAAUAAAAAUCAUGAAUGAAAAAUAAACGAGUUGUUUUUCAAAAAUAAAUCA
Molecule: long non-coding RNA, 772 nt
Organism: Cydia splendana
Lineage: Eukaryota; Metazoa; Arthropoda; Insecta; Lepidoptera; Tortricidae
Exons: 3
Source: RefSeq, a predicted model, not a curated record